This 465-nucleotide ribosomal RNA is filed under the name uncultured Klebsiella sp. RNAcentral's name for it is "bacterial SSU rRNA". It matches the Rfam family "Bacterial small subunit ribosomal RNA", at positions 338 to 795 of the family's 1533-position model. The record is from RNAcentral. Lineage: Bacteria; Pseudomonadati; Pseudomonadota; Gammaproteobacteria; Enterobacterales; Enterobacteriaceae.
CCUACGGGUGGCUGCAGUGGGGAAUAUUGCACAAUGGGCGCAAGCCUGAUGCAGCCAUGCCGCGUGUGUGAAGAAGGCCUUCGGGUUGUAAAGCACUUUCAGCGGGGAGGAAGGCGGUGAGGUUAAUAACCUCAUCGAUUGACGUUACCCGCAGAAGAAGCACCGGCUAACUCCGUGCCAGCAGCCGCGGUAAUACGGGGGGUGCAAGCGUUAAUCGGAAUUACUGGGCGUAAAGCGCACGCAGGCGGUCUGUCAAGUCGGAUGUGAAAUCCCCGGGCUCAACCUGGGAACUGCAUUCGAAACUGGCAGGCUAGAGUCUUGUAGAGGGGGGUAGAAUUCCAGGUGUAGCGGUGAAAUGCGUAGAGAUCUGGAGGAAUACCGGUGGCGAAGGCGGCCCCCUGGACAAAGACUGACGCUCAGGUGCGAAAGCGUGGGGAGCAAACAGGAUUAGAUACCCCAGUAGUC